Molecule: long non-coding RNA, 1069 nt
Organism: Pan troglodytes (chimpanzee)
Lineage: Eukaryota; Metazoa; Chordata; Mammalia; Primates; Hominidae
Exons: 2
Source: RefSeq, a predicted model, not a curated record
CCUCCCUGACAACAUCUUGGACUUCCAGUCUCCAGAUAAGGGAGAGAAUAGAUUUCUGCUGUUGAAGCCACCCAGUCUGUGUCUGCUCCUAGAGAGACAAAAAAGCAAAAAGCAGUGCUCCUGGCACCUGAGGCAGGACACCGUCAGCAGAAGGCAAAUCUCAGCUCAUGGGACACUGGGCCACGGGAUGCGAGGUGGGAGCAGACGGAGUACUGUAUGAAGUCAGCAGAUCACCGUUGACGCAGCUGGUUCCUUCUCCAGAAGCAAAAACAUCUUUAAGGUCACUGAAGAUAGCAAGAUUCUUCAAUGGACCCAUUUGAGGCCACAGAGAUGUAAUGAUAGUGGCAUCCAGAGACAGUUGCGUUCCUCCCACAGGGUAGAUUCAGGUGUCAGCUGAUGGCGAGAAGUGUUGAGGAAUACCGUGUCUCCGGCAUGCUCAUUUUCAGCACGCUCUUGUGAAUUCUGUGUUUUAAGUGAGAAUUUUGGUUGGGCCUUUUUGCUAUUUUCCAAAGAUAAUCUAAUUCUUUUUUUCUUUUUCUUGAGACAGAGUCUCUCUUGGUUGCCCAGGGUGGACUGCAGUGGCGCCAUCUUGGCCCACUGCAACCUCCAUCUCCUGGGUUCAAGUGAUUCUCCUGCCUCAGCCUCCCAAGUAGCUGGGAUGACAGGUGUGCGCCACCAUGCCCAACUAAUUUUUGUAUUUUUAUUACAGAUGGGGUUUUGCCAUGUUGACCAGGCUGGUCUCAAACUCCUGACCUCAGGUGAUCUGCCUGCUUUAGCCAAAAAUAACCCAAUUCUUUUAUAAUCAACAUGUCCCUCUAUUGCAACAGGCCCUCAACUCUGAAGUGAAUCCUACUGCUUAUGAAAAGAAGAAAGAGUAAAAUCACCUCACUUAAGUUCUAGGUAAUCUCUAGAAGCCAACCCAUAAAAAGGAUUUUUCUCUCCCAUCCAAGUUUCCCCUCUGGAAUUGAGGUGUUAUGUCAAAUAUGGUACUUCUGAAUGUCACGUGAACAACUAACUCCAGUUUAUUCAAGCUACCCUUUAAGACCAAUAAAUGUGCUUAUGGGACAAA